Molecule: ribosomal RNA, 253 nt
Filed under: uncultured bacterium
Lineage: Bacteria
Description: partial 16S ribosomal RNA
Rfam family: Bacterial small subunit ribosomal RNA
Source: RNAcentral
UACAGAGGGUGCGAGCGUUAAUCGGAAUUACUGGGCGUAAAGCGUGCGUAGACGGUUUCGUAAGUCGGGUGUGAAAUCCCCGGGCUCAACCUGGGAAUUGCAUUCGAAACUGCGAGGCUAGGGUACGGAAGAGGGAAGCGGAAUUUCUGGUGUAGCGGUGAAAUGCGUAGAUAUCAGAAGGAACAUCAGUGGCGAAAGCGGCUUCCUGGUCCAGUACCGACGUUCAGGCCCGAAAGCGUGGGGAGCAAACAGG